RNAcentral lists this ribosomal RNA (1312 nucleotides) under marine metagenome. Its description in RNAcentral is "bacterial LSU rRNA". It matches the Rfam family "Bacterial large subunit ribosomal RNA", at positions 809 to 2225 of the family's 2925-position model. The record is from RNAcentral.
UUGUGGUAAGGGGUGAAAGGCCAACCAAAUUCGUAGAUAGCUGGUUUUCCGCGAAAACUAUUUAGGUAGUGCGUUGAAUAAAUAGACAUUUAGAGGUAGAGCACUAAAUGGGCUAGGGGGAAGAGAUUCUUACCAAACCUAAUAAAACUCCGAAUGCUAAAUGUUGUUCUUCAGCAGACAGACUGUGGGUGCUAAGGUCCAUGGUCGAGAGGGAAAGAGCCCAGACCACCAGAUAAGGUCCCCAAAUUAUGAUUAAGUGUGAAAGGAUGUGGAAAUUCCUUAACAGCCGGGAGGUUGGCUUAGAAGCAGCCAUCCUUUAAAGAUAGCGUAACAGCUCACCGGUCUAAUAGAGUUUCUGCGCCGAAGAUGUAACGGGGCUAAAAUCAUAUACCGAAUCUGUGGAUUUAUAAUUUUUUCGAAAAUUAUAACUGGUAGCGGAACGUUCUGUAAGCCUGUGAAGGGGUACCCGUGAGGGAUCCUGGAGGUAUCAGAAGUGCGAAUGCUGACAUAAGUAACGAUAAAAGAAGUGAAAAACUUCUUCGCCGAAAAUCCAAGGGUUUCUGCGCAAGGUAAUCCGCGCAGAGUUAGUCGGCACUAAGGCGAGGGCGAAAGCGUAGUCGAUGGAAAUAAGGUUAAUAUUCCUUAACCAGAUGGUAGUGACGGAUCUUGUAAGUUGUGAGUUCUUAAUGGAUUGAGCUUGCCGCGAAAAGGUUCCAAGAAAUAGCUCCAUCAUUAGACCGUACCCUAAACCGACACAGGUGGAUUAAUAGAGUAUAUUUAGGCGCUUGAGAGAAUGAUGUUGAAGGAACUCGGCAAAAUACUUCCGUAACUUCGGGAUAAGGAAGACCUUUUAGUAGGCAACUAUUAGAGGGUGGCACAAGCCAGGGAGAAGCGACUGUUUAUCAAAAACACAGGGCUCUGCUAACACGUAAGUGGAUGUAUAGGGUCUGACGCCUGCCCGGUGCUGGAAGGUUAAUGCGGUUGGUGAGAGCUAACUUCUGAAGCCCCAGUAAACGGCGGCCGUAACUAUAACGGUCCUAAGGUAGCGAAAUUCCUUGUCGGGUAAGUUCCGACCUGCAUGAAUGGCGUAACGAUUUCUCCGCUGUCUCCAACAUCAACUCAGUGAAAUUGAAUUCUCCGUGAAGAUGCGGAGUUCGCGUAGUUAGACGGAAAGACCCCGUGCACCUUUACUGCAACUUUACAUUGGUAUUAGGAAAAACAUAUUUAGUAUAGGAGGGAGACAUUGAAGCAAAGGCGUCAGCUUUUGUGGAGUCACCAGUGAAAUACCUCUUUUGUUUUUCUUGGUAUCUAA